AGAAGCUUAGGAUAAACUAAACCGAGGGCCUUCAAAGCCCUAAAUAGGGACUAAAACCCUAGCUUCUG
Molecule: transfer RNA, 68 nt
Filed under: Sceloporus variabilis
Lineage: Eukaryota; Metazoa; Chordata; Lepidosauria; Squamata; Phrynosomatidae
Description: tRNA-Trp
Rfam family: tRNA
About the family: Transfer RNA (tRNA) molecules are approximately 80 nucleotides in length. Their secondary structure includes four short double-helical elements and three loops (D, anti-codon, and T loops).
Source: RNAcentral